Molecule: non-coding RNA, 2199 nt
Organism: Anas platyrhynchos (mallard)
Lineage: Eukaryota; Metazoa; Chordata; Aves; Anseriformes; Anatidae
Source: RefSeq, a predicted model, not a curated record
UGAUGGUGCUGGGGAGGCAGAGCCAGGAGCUGCUCAGGGGCUUCCUCCUGGCCCUGCUCCAUGAUUCUGAGCUGCUGGGGACUGUGGUCUGCAGCCACCGGUGUCCCCUGGCACCCAGAGGUACUGGUGGCACGCGUUUCCUGCUGUCCGUGGGGAUCUGAACUUCCCUCCUGAGGUGACACAAAGCCCAGCUCGGCCUCCACGCUGCUGAGAAUUGCUGUUGCUGUAACAGGAGCGGAUAUAAAUCUCACAGAUAUAUUAUUUUUUUCUUCCUUUCAAAUGUCCUUAUUGCUGCCCAGAGUGGUGUGCACACAGGGAAGGAGCUCCUUUGCUCUCUCACAUAGAGACGUGGUUGGUUUGCAGGCCUCAGACAGGAACGUGUGGUGUGAACGUCCCAAUCCUGGCUCAACAGCAGGAGGAGCACAGUGUGGGCAGCCUGUUGUGACUCUGUGCUGGAAUUACCUGGAGGUGAAACUCCCCGAGGAGCUGGGACCCUCCCCAAGUAGCCCAGAAGCUCUUGCCCCAUGCUCCUGUGUCCCCAUUUGAGGGGAUGAAGGGCCUGCAGUGGCUGUCCCCCCCAAAAAAACUGACAGAGCACUGCUGUCCCAUGCACAGUGUCCGAGGGCAUGCUGCCAUCCCAAGCGAUGUGGUUUUUUGGAUAAACCUUAUCCAGCACAGCACGGCACAGACGCUGCUGGAGAUUGUGUGACCGUAACCCAGCCUGGCACUGGCAUCGCUGGAAGGGCUUAGCGUGAAGAGAACAGUUCUCCCCAUGUCUGCAGGUGUUGUAGCUUUCAGUGCUAAUUCUUGCGUGUUUUAAUUCAUCCAUAACCAAUAUAAUCUUCAAAGCUUAAAUACAUCUUGGUGCGAUGCUUCCAUUGUCAUUCCCUUUUCCUUUGAACUCCUGCGAGGAAGCCUCUGAGACCCCACAGCUAUUGCUUUGUGUUUGCUUUUAAUCAGCUUGCGUUUCUUCUGAAAAACAAACAAUACCACAACGGCUUCUCCUUGGAAACUUCCGCACGUUUCCAAGAAGAAGAGAGCGUGAAAGCAUGAUUUGUUAAUUGCUGAAUUCCUUUCCUUGAUGUCUUCCUUUCUUGUUAUCUGUUCCGAGGCAAAGGGAAUGGCUCGCUUAAUUUAGUGGGGGAAUGGGAGGGUGCAUGUGUAAGUGGAAGCACGGUGACAGCAUCACAUUGGUGUGAUGCCAGGGAUGUCACCAGGGUGUCCCCACAGGUGCUGGCCCAGCCAGGUGAAGCUGCAGCCCCUGCCCCAGCCCGAUGCCCGGCACAGCCACGGCGCCUGUAGGGAAAAGCAGUGAGUUUGGGAUCGUUUUUCUGCUUCUCAUCUUUGCUCCCUGCUGGAGCUGAUUUAUCCCUGCAGCCUGCACAGCUACAUCCAAGCGGGGCAUGUUUCGCCUUUGUGCUACAGGAGAUCGCUGUAAAUUAUUAGCUUCUUUGUGUCAGCCGGAGCCCGACGCAGCCCAUAAAACUUUCUGGCCAUGUUAUUGCGCUGGAGCGUGGCACCGGGCUGCUGGCAGCAAGCUGCCCAGGGGAGAGGUUGCCAGCUCAAAGGAUGCGUUAUUCUCCAGCAUGUCCCCAUCCUUGUCCCCAGGAUCGCCCACAGGCUCUGUGAGCACGUCUUUCCAGCACAGUGCAGCCUCAAAGGGGAGAGACCUGUCCCGGCUGCCGACCCCUUCCCAAACAGCCUCCAACCUGUUCCAGCUCUGCAGGGGCCAUGCCCACCCCUCCCGUGCCAAAGCACCCUGCAGCGCAUGCUUGACGCUUUCAGCUGGAAGAAUUGUUGUUGUUCUUAUUAUUAUUUAUUAAUGAUUAUCUCUGAGCAUAGAAUCGCUGAGAUUAAAAUUCAGAGGUCUCUGGGCGAGAUCACAGCCUGUUCGAUAUAUAUUAUCAGUAAGUGGUGUGCGCACAAGGGUGGGGUGGGGAGAGAAGGGGAUCUCACGAGAGCCACAAAAACCGGACUUUUAAUUUAAAACUAUCCUUCACUGACUUGUGCAUCUCUCCUGCAAGCCUAUAUUUUAUUUCCCCCUGUGCAGCAGUAAUCAGAAGGUAACAAGGGAGAAGGGGAAGCGGAUUAUCUUCCAGCUCUAUCUGGCUGAUUUCAGGGCUGUAAAUUAUAGAUAUAUAUGGUACAAAGGAGUGCUGGGAUAUUAAUUUCUGUUGUUGAAAAUCACAGACCCUCUGC